UUCAUUCAUAACCAUCCCACCGGAAACCCUCUUUCACAGCUCAUUCUUCCCUCCCCCUCCACCCUUUUCAAAACAUCCAUCAGAAGGGAAUGAUAAUGGCCAGUUCACGCCUUGCAAGAUUUAUCACAGAAGUUGUGCCAUCACAACUUGCAACUGCCCCAAGGAGGUCACGCAAACCAUGCGUCGCGAUGGAUACGAUUCGUGAAGACAGAGAAGAAGAAGAGAGACAUGCACGUGAAAGCUUCAGUCAUGCUUCUCUCUCUUCUUCUCCAGGAAGCUCUUCUGCUUCUUGGGCAGUGGCAGAUUCAACUGGUUUAAACUUCAAGGUCUACUUCAACCAAAUCCGAACAUCUUUGUUUGACGUUCAGAAAUGACCGCCUUUUUCAGUUGAUGGUGACGGUGUGCAUCUCCAAGGCACAAGACCUUUCCACCAUUUUGCUCAUCUGAUAGGAUAAGAUCCAGGGCUACUUUCGUGAGACGAGAGAGAGAGAGAGAGAGAGAGAGAGAGAGAGAGAGAGAGAGAGAGGUUUUACUCGUUACUUGGCUGUAAAGAAUUUUUUUUUUUUUAAAUUCUUGUAGUCGGGUUGUUCCCUCGUUUCCUUUUAUCUUUGAAAAGGAAUUCUCGUACCAUGUCUUCAAGGCAAUGUACUGUAUACAUGUGAAGUAAAACCUUUCCAUUUGUUUCUUCCA
RNAcentral lists this long non-coding RNA (690 nucleotides) under Eucalyptus grandis. Its description in RNAcentral is "long non-coding RNA (EGRA_LNC002959)". The record is from RNAcentral. Lineage: Eukaryota; Viridiplantae; Streptophyta; Magnoliopsida; Myrtales; Myrtaceae.